GAUCUCAUUUGCAUAUUAUUUUAGAAACCACGUCGGAAUAUUAUCCGGACCAGAAGCUUUAUUAACCUGUAGGGAUAUUAAUUGCUUAUAUACACCAGCCACUGAUAUCUCCAGAGAACCAAUACUUGGUUUUGGAUCGUUAUCUACACUAGGGAUAUUAAUAAGGUGUUCUUCUGGGAAUAUAGAAAAAAAAUGAUUGUUUAAAAUUUCAGUAUUGGGCCUUCUUUUUCUUUUGGGGGGAGGAGAAAAGAAGAACAAUGAGUCCUGUGCUCCUGUGAAGUUGUGUGAACAAUAGAGAGGCUCAGAUAACCCUACUCCAAGUUUCUAAA
Molecule: non-coding RNA, 329 nt
Organism: Paramuricea clavata
Lineage: Eukaryota; Metazoa; Cnidaria; Anthozoa; Malacalcyonacea; Plexauridae
Source: the annotation of a GenBank genome assembly